AGGACGAACGCUGGCGGCGUGCUUAACACAUGCAAGUCGAGCGGAAAGGCCCUUCGGGGUACUCGAGCGGCGAACGGGUGAGUAACACGUGAGUAAUCUGCCCCUAGCUCUGGGAUAGCUCCGGGAAACCGGGAUUAAUACCAGAUACGACCACUUUAGACAUCUGUUGUGGUGGAAAGAAUUUGGCUAGGGAUGAGCUCGCGGCCUAUCAGCUUGUUGGUGAGGUAACGGCUCACCAAGGCGACGACGGGUA
RNAcentral lists this ribosomal RNA (253 nucleotides) under uncultured bacterium. Its description in RNAcentral is "partial small subunit ribosomal RNA". It matches the Rfam family "Bacterial small subunit ribosomal RNA", at positions 26 to 285 of the family's 1533-position model. The record is from RNAcentral.